RNAcentral lists this small nucleolar RNA (134 nucleotides) under Dasypus novemcinctus (nine-banded armadillo). RNAcentral's name for it is "Small nucleolar RNA SNORA4 (ENSDNOG00000026515.1)". It matches the Rfam family "Small nucleolar RNA SNORA4". Rfam says of the family: ACA4 is a member of the H/ACA class of snoRNA that guide the sites of modification of uridines to pseudouridines. The record is from RNAcentral. Lineage: Eukaryota; Metazoa; Chordata; Mammalia; Cingulata; Dasypodidae.
CUCCCAAAAGUUAUUCAGGGGAAGGUUUUUUAAUAACCUUUACCAAUUUGGGCUGUUUGGGAGAAUAAAAGGACCACACUCCACAGUGGGCUAUUGCACUUAACGUAGCUCACUACUAUUCCGUGGCCUACAUU